Molecule: unclassified non-coding RNA, 1497 nt
Filed under: Orussus abietinus
Lineage: Eukaryota; Metazoa; Arthropoda; Insecta; Hymenoptera; Orussidae
Description: pachytene checkpoint protein 2 homolog, transcript variant X1
Source: RNAcentral
CGUUACUUUCAAUCAAGUUUAAUCACGUUGCGCUGUAUGACCGUACGAGCGUAAAAUAAGCAAUUUGUUUCAUUUAUUGAACUAUUUAAUUAUUCGUUAAAAUGUUGGAAAUGGUUGAUGUACUUGACGUUGAAGUUUGUCAAAAGCAUGAUAGUACUUUGUCCCGAGAUGAGAUAGAACAGACGGUAAGGGAAGAACUAAAUUUGCUAGUAGAGGUGGACCUCAAUAUUCCGAUUGUUGGGGAAAAAUGCACAGAUAAUAUUUUAAAGUCCCACGUGAUCUCCAUUGUAUGCACGUGCAACCAUGCAGAGAAAAACCAAAUUACGGUGGCCAAUGCCGAGGUUCGAGUGUACGUCUAUAGGUUAGAACAGGAGGAUGGUGCGAUAGAGACUAUGCAAAAUGAUUCCGAAGAAGUACCAGUUUCAUCACAUUGGAUUUUACCAGCGCAAGAGUUUUAUGGCCUUUGGGAGAAUCUGUAUUAUGACUCGGACAUCCAGGAAAAUUUGCUGCACUUUGUGGAGACGAUGAUGGUGUACUCGGACCGCAGAGUCAAUCCUAAUAUAAUAAACUGUAAUCGGGUCGUACUGCUACAUGGACCACCUGGUACUGGGAAAACGAGCAUGUGUCGAGCACUUGCUCAGAAAAUUGCCAUUCGCUUGGGAGAUCGGUACUCUAGAGGAGAGCUUGUAGAGAUAAACAGUCACAGUCUGUUUUCAAAAUGGUUUUCAGAGAGUGGGAAGUUGGUUAUGAAACUGUUCGGGGAGAUUAGAGCUCUUCUCGAGGACCCAAGAGCAUUGGUAUGCGUUCUGAUUGACGAAGUCGAAUCCUUGGCUCACGCAAGGAAGUCUUCCCUCUCCGGUACCGAACCAAGUGACUCGAUUCGCGUCGUAAAUGCUCUUUUAACUCAGUUGGACCAGCUGAAGCGUUAUCCAAAUGUAUUAAUUCUGACAACUAGUAACGUGACGGAAGCGAUUGAUUUGGCUUUUGUGGAUCGUGCGGAUAUAAACCAGUUUAUCGGACACCCACAGGAGCAAGCCAUUUAUAAGAUUUACCAUUCGUGCUUAAGGGAGUUAAUGAGAACUGACUUCAUAGAGUACGAAAUGCUACACAGCAUGUCGUACUUGAAGAAGUAUGGUUACGAAGAGAAUCCGGAGACCAAGAAGAGUCUGCAGUUGCUGGAAUUAAGUCGACAAAGUGUCGGGCUGAGUGGACGUACCUUGAGAAAAAUUCCAUUCCUGGCCCAUGCCCUUUACCUACACGCUAAGAAAUCUUCCCUUCAUCGUUUCUUAAGGGCUAUGCAUUUUGCCAUCGAACGACAGAGAGAAAUUGGAGCGGAGUAAAAAGCUUGCGUACCCUGCUUGCCCUUCGCAUGUCAUUCCCAAAAUCAGUCACGUACCGAUGACCCUGAAGACGUCCCCUUACGUCCUCGGGAAAUGAUCUAAAUGUCUCGUUUGAUGAAACCAGACAACGGGGCGCCAGAAUGUCCGAUCUCUUGAC